GAUGAACGCUGGCGGCGUGCCUAAUACAUGCAAGUCGAGCGAACAGACGAGGAGCUUGCUCCUCUGACGUUAGCGGCGGACGGGUGAGUAACACGUGGAUAACCUACCUAUAAGACUGGGAUAACUUCGGGAAACCGGAGCUAAUACCGGAUAAUAUAUUGAACCGCAUGGUUCAAUAGUGAAAGACGGUUUUGCUGUCACUUAUAGAUGGAUCCGCGCCGCAUUAGCUAGUUGGUAAGGUAACGGCUUACCAAGGCAACGAUGCGUAGCCGACCUGAGAGGGUGAUCGGCCACACGGGAACUGAGACGCGGUCCAGACUCCUACGGGAGGCAGCAGUAGGGAAUCGUCGGCAAUGGGCGAAAGCUUGACGGAGCAACGCCGCGUGAGUGAUGAAGGUCUUCGGAUCGUAAAACUCUGUUAUUAGGGAAGAACAAAUGUGUAAGUAACUAUGCACGUCUUGACGGUACCUAAUCAGAAAGCCACGGCUAACUACGUG
RNAcentral lists this ribosomal RNA (497 nucleotides) under uncultured bacterium. Its description in RNAcentral is "partial 16S ribosomal RNA". It matches the Rfam family "Bacterial small subunit ribosomal RNA", at positions 28 to 507 of the family's 1533-position model. The record is from RNAcentral.